Tympanuchus pallidicinctus (lesser prairie-chicken) is the source of this 6668-nucleotide long non-coding RNA. RefSeq lists it as uncharacterized. The transcript is spliced from 13 exons. The record is from RefSeq and is a predicted model, not a curated record. NCBI's taxonomy places the organism in Eukaryota, Metazoa, Chordata, Aves, Galliformes, Phasianidae.
CACAGUGGUUCUACAGAUCUGUGUUUUCGCAGAGAGAAGACCUGCAGAGCUUUCAAAUCGCAAAACUGCAUUUAAGCGUUUAAAUAUUUCAUGAAGCAGCACCCUUAAAGCCAGAUUCCUUUUAAUUGCGAAUUGAGAAAUAGGUUUUACCAAAAUCGAAGCAUUUUCCAUCCUUAACGUGCUGCCGGGGGGGGGGGGGGAGGGGGGGUUGGGUUCUAAAAGGGGCACAGGUGUACUGCUGAGGACAGGGUGCCGGCGCUGCCGAAAUGCUGUCCAUGCAAGCACUAUUAAGGCUCCAGAAACAGCCAGAGAUAGAAACUGAGUAUUUUGUAGCCUCCUAAGGGCUUUUGACUGAAGUGUGCGAGGCAUAACUGCGUGUGGACAGUCAUCUCUUGCACUUGACCGGCUGCUUGUGUACGUAUCGGAGCAAAAUUACCCAAUGAAUAACAUGGAGACUGGAGAAGAAACCGGGCUGCCAACAUGGCCUCGUGAACUGUGUUAGUAUGUCCAGCUCACAGGGGAAGACCGCUUCGAAAUAAUAAUGGAUGGAAAAAAUGUUUUUGAAGUGUGCCUGGCUUAGAAUGCAUUUCAUGGUCAGUGGAAAAAAAUGAGGAAGAGGAGGGUGUGGCUGCAGAGAAUUUGGCUGUGCAGGCAGGGACUGGCUUUUGGGGUUGUGAUCCUUCAGCCUCGCAGAAGGAAGACUUCUCUUAGUGAAAUCAGAAGAAAAGUAGUGCUGGAGCAGAGCACUUGAACUUUGAGAACUGGAGUUGUCAGUCACUGCUGAAGGUACAGGAACAGCGGAUGGAAACGUGCGUUGCUCUUCUGAAGCUGAAUCCUCAGGCAUUCGUGGCCCGUCUCUGCAGCCCGAUGUGUUUUUUGUGCGUGUGUGUAAGCGCUCUCAAUCAAACAGAAAUCAUGGCAGCUGUUUUUCUUCCAGCACAGCAGUUGAGCUGUCUCGCCCAAAUGCUUAUCAGCUUUUGACUCCGUGCCAAGAUAGUUAUAAGGGCCAAGCAGCCUGCGCUUGGCUGUGCAGCUGGUGGAGGAGCGAGGGCAUGAGAAAACAGAAUCACCCAGCUUUUUUUGUCACACACACCAUUUACUUUUUUUUUUUUUCCAAUCCCCGUUUUUAGCGCCGUGGGUCUUCCGAGCAGCUUUUUCGCGGUGUCUCCGCAGCGCUUUCCUACAGGGCCGCAUCUAGACGGGAGUCCGACGCUCCUUGUUUUAAUCCCGGAAGAUAUUUCCGCAGGACCUUCCUUUCCUUUCCCUCCCACUCCCCCCCUCCCGCCCCCAAUUAAAAGCUCCAUUAGCCGGCCCCGCUGUCUCUCCUCACGGCUGCUCUGUCCUCCGCGGCCCGCACGAUCCCGGGCCCUCGCUGCGGUGCGCUGUGCGCGGCCGUUCGGCAGUGCCGCGCCGUGCCGUGCCGCCCUCCUAUCGCCCAGCCCCGGCCCUGCGCCGCGCCAGCGCGGCCUCCUCCGCCUCUCGGCUGCAGUCGCUGCGAGGGGGAGGCCGGACUCUGGAACGACGCUGCUGCCGCCGCUCGCAUUCCUGCUGCAAGGGCCUCCCCUUCAGACGGCCUUUGCCAGAGCAGAACUUUUUAAAAUGCUGUGCAUAGGCGCUGCUGCUUUUUCCCCUCUUCGUCUCUCUCUCUCUCUCUAUUUAACCCUCCUUUCACUGCUGAAGAACGGAUUAAUUUUCCGUCUUUCCUGCGCUUGGCUCGGCCGUACUGUAUCUCGUUGCAUUGAGGUUAAAACUCCGAGUAUUUUCCCCUCCGCUGAUCCUUUUCUCUCUCUCCCUCUCCUCUCUCUUUUUCCUCGGUUAAGGGGAAUUGAUUUCUUUGGCCGAGCGAUGAAUCGGGCUUCGCUAGUUUGUAUGCUGUGAGAACGAGGGCUUUUAUUUGUCACAUCCCCCCCGCCCACCCACUACCGGCACACCGCGCAGCUCACGGAACGGCCGGUCGCUCUGCCUGCCUCUGUACUGCAGCUCUGUUUCGGCGGCCGUAGGUGUCCGUGCCUCACGGAGCGGGGCUCCGCUCCCCCCGAGCGCCCCCUCCCCCCCCCCCCCCCUCAGCCCACGAGCCCCCCGCGAUGGCCGACACGGGGGUGUGCGGAGAGCGGGGGGCCCGUCUGCUCCCCGCGGCGGAGGGGAGAGAGAUGUGCAGCAAAACGCUGCCUCUGGGACAGGUGCCAGCUCCCAGACAAAAGGAGUGGAAUAGGCUGUAAAGAGGGAGUGGGGGAAAUUAAUAGCCGGCAAAAAAUAGGAGCCGCGAGCCUCGGGAGGAGCCCUGGCGGGAGCGCGCUGCCUCGCCGGCCUCUUCGCCGGGUAUUCCCGGGCUGCAGGGCGGAAGGAGAAAGUUGUGGCAUACUUUUUAUUCCUGUCUUCUCUUCAGACGUUGGAAAGCGUGAAGGGAGGAUGGAGGGCGCCUCUUUUUUUUUUCUUUUUUUUUUUUUUCCACCCUCCUCUUACUGAAUUAUUCAUAGUGUCAGCGGUGAAGCCAGGACUAUUAGCAUGCAUCAGACAUGCUGUUUGUCUGUUUGCUAACAUUCUUCAUUCAAGACUUGUUAACUACCAGACAAGCUUAACAUGCUUCUCUUUCUCCUCCCCUUCUCUCUCCCUCUCUCUCCCUCCCCUCUCCCUUCCCUUCCCCUCCAUGCCACCCCUCGCAGCCUCCCAUUGUUGUCGCUGGGAGCUGGCAGCAGCUGUGGCAGGGGGAGCGUGCGGAGGAGCCGCCAGCCGCCCGCUAGAAAGAAGCUCAAGAAAAGAAACCGACAAAGUUGGGCGGUGCAAGUUUUUAUAUCUAUUUAAUAUUUCGACGUGUCCCAGGCGUUAUUAGACAUCGGCGUGCAGAGCAGUCACGAUGCGCCUGGGAGCGAGUCCAUGGGGUUUUGUGCCAUUUGUACGCCUGGGCAACACCAUACCCGUCCUGAACUCAUAUUUUUGAGUGUCUCAGCCUGGAUGUAGCCCAGAUGUGUGAAAUACACAGCAGCAGAAUUUGAGUUUUCAAGUGAAAUAGCUUUUCUUUGUCUGAAUCAUUCUUCAAAAUGCAAGAUUAGAAGUUUCCUACCACGUCAUCUUCAAGACUCACAGAAAAUUCUCCUGCAACUUGUGGCUGCCUGGAAAAAGAUGAUGAUGUAGUCUGGCAAAAUGAACUCAAGAAACAAGAAGAAGAUGCUAGAGACUGAUCUGCAAGUCGUUCAGAGUACUCACAGCCAUCUAAGGAGCUGAGGAUAAAGCUGGCUCUUUCCUGACUUCCACUGGAGAAAAGUGAAAAGGCAACAUCUGAAGAAGGCACUGUCAAUUCCCAAUGAUCCCAGGAGAACUGAAUUAGAUCCUGGAAUCUGAGCAAGCCAGAGGUGAGGCUGUCAUGAGGGUGAAACUCAUUUGAGUGCCCAGAGGUUCACUGAUAAGAUGCAAACCAGAAUCUGCCUAUUGGUAGUCUUUCCAGAUAUGAUUCAGAGCUAAUAAGAGAGACUGAGAAGUACCAUGACUCCAAACAGAAUCAUUUUGCUGUGCAGAAUGGCGCAAGAUGAACUAGCACAUUUCAGAAUAAGUUACAUAGAGAACAAAGUAUUAUGUCACUGGACAAGUAGAAGAAGAGGUGCUGAUCUCUGACCACAAAAGAAAAAUAAAGAAUUGCUAAGACUUUGAGAAAAAUAAGCCUGAAUGUUUUAGUUCUAAGAGAAAUGACCUAGGGGGAGCCAAGUUACAAGAUGAACUAAUGAAGUUAGAAGAGGAAAGAAGUGAAAAUUGGUCAUCUAUGCAAAGAAAAUGACAAGGCUUUGUCUCCCGUGGAUCCUGGCCUCACCCCAUUUUCCCCCUGGGAUCUGCUGAAUGUCAUUUCUGCCCUCAGGAGCUGGGAAGCACUGCUCAGGCUGAGAUCCUGCUGCUGCUGCUCCCACAGAUGUCCCUGUCACGCCUGGCAGCCGGCUUAGGCUGGGCAGAAAGCCCACCAGGGCCAGCACAGCAAAUCAGCUGAUUACGGGUGCCCCCUGGGGACCAAUCUGAUGGAAUAAUAACAACGGAAAGAGAAAGCUGGUGCUGUGAAUGGGCCUCUGAGAAAAUGUACAGAGAAGCUGCUGUCUGCUUUUUCACUGGCUGUCACUCACCUUAUAAUUGUUUCAAUGUGCACUGAAAUGAAGUUGAAACAUGCGUGUUUUCUCUUUCUGCAUCCCGAUUUUGAUUGUGCUAAGAGCAGUGGAAGAUCCCAUCAGUUGCCCUGAAACAUGACCUACCUACUUUGGGGUGAGAUCUGCUUUGUUGUAAAGGAUGGCUCUAGUUUUUCUGUGUGUAUCAUGUAUUCUUGUCUUUAAUUUGCAAUUAACAAAAACAGGUUUUGCUUGGAGAAGGCUCCAGUAAGUCCUCGUUGUGGCCUUCCAAGACUUGAAGGGAACGUAUAAUCAGGAGGGGGAAUGGCUGUUUACGAGGGUGGACAGUGAUAGAACAAGUGGGAAUGGUUUUAAACUGAGACAGGGGAGUUUAGGUUAGAUAUUAGGAGGAAGUUUUUCAAACACAGGGUGAUGACACACUGGAACAGGUUGCCCAAGGAGGUUGUGGAUGCCCCAUCCAUGAAGGCAUUCAAGACCAGGCUGGAUGUGGCUCCGGGCAGCCUGGUCUGGUGGUUGAUGACCCUGCAUACAGCAGGGGGUUGAAACUAGAUGGUCUUUGAUGUCCUUUUCAACUCAGGCCAUUCUAUGAUUCUGUGAUUCUAAAUUAGCUUUUGAAGUUGGAGUACUUGCUUGAAAACUUUAUUUAUUUACAUUACAAAUAUGGACUGAUAUCAUAGUUUUUGUCACUUGUUUGGAUUUUUCCUGAGUGCAAUGUGCAUCAAACCAGAUGGUGGGGAGUGACAGCACCCUCAAACUCUGGUGUUGGUGUGAGAUUAUGAUACAGUAGUGGCAAUUUUGCUAGUCAUAUUAACCAAUGUCUGUGUAUUACAGUAGGGUACAUUUAAUUUGGCCAUUGAUUCAGUGGUGAGGUACUGUCCUUUAGAAGUAGCAUGUUGCUUAAGUAAGCCAUAAUACUUUCUGACAGUCAGCAAGUUCUUGGUUCAAUCUUAAAGAUUUACCCAUGCAGAACUUGGGAAAGUCAGUAAGAGAAACUGAGUUUUUCUCCACUAGGAUAACAGAGGAAUACCUAGGGGGCAAUGCAGAACAAAUCCCUCUAAUUCAGCAUCUAUUCUCUAAGUCACUGUGAUGCCAUUCUUUAACAAACAAAACUGGUUUGUUAAGAUGCAGUCAUGUCAGAACUGGAAGUACAAAAGUGCAUUUAUUAAAAAUGAAUUCCGUAUCCUCUUCCCUCUUGUGUAUCUUGUCACUGACAUGACUUCACAUAUUGCAAAUCUAUUAAGCUUUUAAAACAUGAAACUAGAGCUCAUUAAGCAAAAUGUCAACUGGUGUAUAGCAAACUCUUUCAGAACUAAGACUGAUAAUGUUUGUCUCCGGAGUCUUUUGUCUUCUAGGUCAUCAGCAAGUCAUCCAGCUUUCUGGAAAUAAAGUUUGUGGUUUCUCUGAUCGGAGUCUGACUGUCCUUUGGGGUGAGGUAGUAGGUUGUAUAGUUUUAGGGUUAUGCCCUGCCUGUCAGAUAACUAUACAAUCUACUGUCUUUCCUGAAGUGGCUGUGAUAUCAUCGCUGGAUAUGUCUUCAAAAUGCAAAGCAAAUGUAUUUCAACUGUAACAUUCUCUGGCUCUGUCUAUACGUUGGUUUUGGUUCUUACGAAAGAAAUGUCCUUAAAGUGUUUGAAUUCCUCUAUCGUUUGGAUUGGAAAGCAGUUUCCUUUUUUUCAUCUUCUCAGAGAAAGUGGGGUGUCAGAGGGCACAGAUUUAUCUUAGUCUACAAGGUUUGUUUAUGCUCAAUUUUCUCCAUCUACCAGUGUGCUCACAGGAGUGGCCAUUUGGAAAAAGGUGAUCCAUUACUUCAUUUCUUUGUGGCAUUUGUAUUUAUAUUCCACCUUUUUUAAGUGCCACUUUUUCAACAGUUAUGUAAAUGCAUCUAGCAUAAUUUGAGAACAAGUGAUGACUUGGAUAAUAAUACAAAGAAGAUGUCUCAUUUUCUGCUCUUGAACCAGUAAAUGCUUGACCCCUAAGGGAAGAGAUUUUUUAAAAUCAAUUUUUGAAUUGUGAUUUGACCCAUGUUUUAUUACAUUGUACAAAUUUGGGAAGGAGAGUGCUUUCCACUGCAGUUCUUCUGUCUAUAGAGUCACCCCACCAAUUCUGAUGGACUUCCAGGAAGAAAUCUGAGGAAGGGCUGACAGGACAUAAUUAUGCUCUUUUUGAGGCUAAGAAAUGUGGGCUAGAAAGUGUUUAGGGGAUCUUACUUAUGGUAGGUGAAAUGCUAGUUUGCUUCAGAAGAUCCGCCUGGUGCUCUAACAGGAUGAGGUAGUAGGUUGUGUGGUUUCAGGGUAGUGAUUUUGCCCCAAUCAGGAGAUAACUAUACAACCUACUGCCUUCCCUGAUAGGCAGCAUAACAUCAGUAUCUUAAUUCACAGAAAAACCAGAGGCUAAAAUAAACUUCUGUGACCAACAAAGUAAGUCUACAUACAAUUGUUGUUACCCAGUCCCUAAUACAUCUAACUUCAGUGUCUGGCAUUAUUUUUAAUAACUGCCUACAAAAUAAUUAUCUCUUUUAAGGUCUCUAUGGGAAAAACAGAAUUAAAAAAGUUCUGCUAUUCAAGA